UAACGAUACGGGACUCAUCCGAGGCCCCGUAAUCGGAAUGAGUACACUUUAAAUCCUUUAACGAGGACCCAUUGGAGGGCAAGUCUGGUGCCAGCAGCCGCGGUAAUUCCAGCUCCAAUAGCGUAUAUUAAAGUUGUUGCGGUUAAAAAGCUCGUAGUUGAAUCUGUGUGCCACGCUGUUGGUUCAUCGCUCGCGAUGUUUAACUGACAUGAUUGUGGGACGUCCUACCGGUGGGCUUAGCUCCUCACGGGGCGGUCCAGCUAAUAUCCCAUCGCGGUGCUCUUCACCGAGUGUCGCUGUGGGCCGGUACGUUUACUUUGAACAAAUUAGAGUGCUCAAAGCAGGCUAUGUUCGCCUGAAUAUAUUUGCAUGGAAUAAUGGAAUAGGACCUCGGUUCUAUUUUGUUGGUUUUCGGAACCCCGAGGUAAUGAUUAAUAGGGACAGAUGGGGGCAUUCGUAUUGCGACGUUAGAGGUGAAAUUCUUGGAUCGUCGCAAGACGGACAGAAGCGAAAGCAUUUGCCAAAAAUGUUUUCAUUAAUCAAGAACGAAAGUUAGAGGUUCGAAGGCGAUCAGAUACCGCCCUAGUUCUAACCAUAAACGAUGCCAGCUAGCGAUCCGCCGAAGUUCCUCCGAUGACUCGGCGGGCAGCUUCCGGGAAACCAAAGCUUUUGGGUUCCGGGGGAAGUAUGGUUGCAAAGCUGAAACUUAANGGAAUUGACGGAAGGGCACCACCAGGAGUGGAGCCUGCGGCUUAAUUUGACUCAACAC
RNAcentral lists this ribosomal RNA (769 nucleotides) under Adryas bochica. RNAcentral describes it as "SSU rRNA". It matches the Rfam family "Eukaryotic small subunit ribosomal RNA", at positions 477 to 1206 of the family's 1831-position model. Lineage: Eukaryota; Metazoa; Arthropoda; Insecta; Hymenoptera; Trichogrammatidae. The record is from RNAcentral.